Molecule: ribosomal RNA, 661 nt
Filed under: uncultured Gammaproteobacteria bacterium
Lineage: Bacteria; Pseudomonadati; Pseudomonadota; Gammaproteobacteria
Description: bacterial SSU rRNA
Rfam family: Bacterial small subunit ribosomal RNA
Source: RNAcentral
CGGACGGGUGAGUAACGCGUGGGAAUCUACCCAGUAGUGGGGGACAACUACCGGAAACGGUAGCUAAUACCGCAUACGCCCUAUGGGGGAAAGGCUUCGGCCGCUAUUGGAUGAGCCCGCUUCAGAUUAGCUAGUUGGUAGGGUAAAGGCCUACCAAGGCAACGAUCUGUAGCUGGUCUGAGAGGACGAACAGCCACACUGGGACUGAGACACGGCCCAGACUCCUACGGGAGGCAGCAGUGGGGAAUAUUGGACAAUGGGCGAAAGCCUGAUCCAGCAAUGCCGCGUGUGUGAAGAAGGCCUGCGGGUUGUAAAGCACUUUCAGUUGGGAAGAUGAUGACGUUACCAACAGAAGAAGCACCGGCUAAAUCCGUGCCAGCAGCCGCGGUAAUACGGAUGGUGCGAGCGUUAAUCGGAAUUACUGGGCGUAAAGCGCGCGUAGGCGGCUAAGUCAGUCAGCAGUGAAAGCCCCGGGCUCAACCUGGGAAUUGCUUUUGAUACUGCUUAGCUAGAGUUUGGUAGAGGAUAGUGGAAUUCCAGGUGUAGCGGUGAAAUGCGUAGAUAUCUGGAGGAAUAUCAGUGGCGAAGGCGACUGUCUGGACCAAAACUGACGCUGAGGUGCGAAAGCGUGGGUAGCAAACAGGAUUAGAUACCCUGGUAG